RNAcentral lists this microRNA precursor (82 nucleotides) under Otolemur garnettii (small-eared galago). Its description in RNAcentral is "miRNA (ENSOGAG00000021962.1)". Lineage: Eukaryota; Metazoa; Chordata; Mammalia; Primates; Galagidae. The record is from RNAcentral.
UCACCUGGGAAUACUAUUAAAAAGGCGAAUUUUCAGUAGGUUUGAGAUUCUGCAUUUCUAACAAGUUCCCAGGUGAUAACGA